This 252-nucleotide ribosomal RNA is filed under the name uncultured bacterium. RNAcentral's name for it is "partial 16S ribosomal RNA". It matches the Rfam family "Bacterial small subunit ribosomal RNA", at positions 524 to 776 of the family's 1533-position model. The record is from RNAcentral.
UACGUAGGGGGCUAGCGUUGUCCGGAAUCAUUGGGCGUAAAGCGCGCGUAGGCGGCCCGGUAAGUCCGCUGUGAAAGUCAAAGGCUCAACCUUUGAAUGUCAGCGGAUACUGCCGGGCUAGAGUCCGGAAGAGGCGAGUGGAACUCCUGGUGUAGCGGUGGAAUGCGCAGAUAUCAGGAAGAACACCAACGGCGAAGGCAGCUCGCUGGGACGGUACUGACGCUGAGGCGCGAAAGCGUGGGAGCAAACAGG